RNAcentral lists this ribosomal RNA (1528 nucleotides) under Enterobacter cancerogenus. RNAcentral describes it as "bacterial SSU rRNA". It matches the Rfam family "Bacterial small subunit ribosomal RNA". Lineage: Bacteria; Pseudomonadati; Pseudomonadota; Gammaproteobacteria; Enterobacterales; Enterobacteriaceae. The record is from RNAcentral.
AGAGUUUGAUCAUGGCUCAGAUUGAACGCUGGCGGCAGGCCUAACACAUGCAAGUCGAGCGGUAGCACAGAGAGCUUGCUCUCGGGUGACGAGCGGCGGACGGGUGAGUAAUGUCUGGGAAACUGCCUGAUGGAGGGGGAUAACUACUGGAAACGGUAGCUAAUACCGCAUAACGUCGCAAGACCAAAGAGGGGGACCUUCGGGCCUCUUGCCAUCAGAUGUGCCCAGAUGGGAUUAGCUAGUAGGUGGGGUAACGGCUCACCUAGGCGACGAUCCCUAGCUGGUCUGAGAGGAUGACCAGCCACACUGGAACUGAGACACGGUCCAGACUCCUACGGGAGGCAGCAGUGGGGAAUAUUGCACAAUGGGCGCAAGCCUGAUGCAGCCAUGCCGCGUGUAUGAAGAAGGCCUUCGGGUUGUAAAGUACUUUCAGCGGGGAGGAAGGUGUUGUGGUUAAUAACCGCAGCAAUUGACGUUACCCGCAGAAGAAGCACCGGCUAACUCCGUGCCAGCAGCCGCGGUAAUACGGAGGGUGCAAGCGUUAAUCGGAAUUACUGGGCGUAAAGCGCACGCAGGCGGUCUGUCAAGUCGGAUGUGAAAUCCCCGGGCUCAACCUGGGAACUGCAUUCGAAACUGGCAGGCUAGAGUCUUGUAGAGGGGGGUAGAAUUCCAGGUGUAGCGGUGAAAUGCGUAGAGAUCUGGAGGAAUACCGGUGGCGAAGGCGGCCCCCUGGACAAAGACUGACGCUCAGGUGCGAAAGCGUGGGGAGCAAACAGGAUUAGAUACCCUGGUAGUCCACGCCGUAAACGAUGUCGACUUGGAGGUUGUGCCCUUGAGGCGUGGCUUCCGGAGCUAACGCGUUAAGUCGACCGCCUGGGGAGUACGGCCGCAAGGUUAAAACUCAAAUGAAUUGACGGGGGCCCGCACAAGCGGUGGAGCAUGUGGUUUAAUUCGAUGCAACGCGAAGAACCUUACCUACUCUUGACAUCCAGAGAACUUUCCAGAGAUGGAUUGGUGCCUUCGGGAACUCUGAGACAGGUGCUGCAUGGCUGUCGUCAGCUCGUGUUGUGAAAUGUUGGGUUAAGUCCCGCAACGAGCGCAACCCUUAUCCUUUGUUGCCAGCGGUUAGGCCGGGAACUCAAAGGAGACUGCCAGUGAUAAACUGGAGGAAGGUGGGGAUGACGUCAAGUCAUCAUGGCCCUUACGAGUAGGGCUACACACGUGCUACAAUGGCGCAUACAAAGAGAAGCGACCUCGCGAGAGCAAGCGGACCUCAUAAAGUGCGUCGUAGUCCGGAUUGGAGUCUGCAACUCGACUCCAUGAAGUCGGAAUCGCUAGUAAUCGUAGAUCAGAAUGCUACGGUGAAUACGUUCCCGGGCCUUGUACACACCGCCCGUCACACCAUGGGAGUGGGUUGCAAAAGAAGUAGGUAGCUUAACCUUCGGGAGGGCGCUUACCACUUUGUGAUUCAUGACUGGGGUGAAGUCGUAACAAGGUAACCGUAGGGGAACCUGCGGUUGGAUCACCU